CCCUUAGAUGUCCUGGGCCGCACGCGUGCUACACUGACGCAUACAGCGAGCACUUUCCAGUUCCGAGAGGCUACUGGUAAUCAUCAAUAUGCGUCGUGAUGGGGAUAGAUCUUUGGAAUUCUGGAUCUUGAACGAGGAAUGCCUGUAAUCGCAGGUCAUUAGCCUGCGAUGAUUAAGUCCCUGCCCUUUGUACACACCGCCCGUCGCUACUACCGAUUUCGAGUGGUCAGGUGAAUCUUUCGGACUGUGGGCGCCCUUGAGGUGUUCGCGGAAAGUCAGGUAAAUCUUAUCACUUAGAGGAAGUAAAAGUCGUAACA
RNAcentral lists this ribosomal RNA (317 nucleotides) under uncultured eukaryote. Its description in RNAcentral is "partial 18S ribosomal RNA". It matches the Rfam family "Eukaryotic small subunit ribosomal RNA", at positions 1470 to 1796 of the family's 1831-position model. The record is from RNAcentral.